CCUCUUUUCUCUCUCACUCGUUCAUAGAAAAAAACGGAAGAACAGAAACAAACAACAGCAAUCCACGAUUCACUCUCUCAAUCGCAGCUCUUUCUCGCUCUCGCUACUCUCUGCAGACAACAUCAAUUGAAAACCUCUCGAUUUGCUCUUCUCACGGGUUCUCUCUUCAUUCAGCGAACAACAACAACUUAAGCUCUCACUCGGUUUCCCUUUCGAUCUCUCUUCACUCACUCACGGUGAUCUUCAAUGGAAGAACACGAAAUUCUUCCCCUCAAUCACUCUCUUUGCUCUCGGUUUCUCCAUCACUCUUGCUCGGUGGUGAAUAACAACAACAACAUCACUCUCACUUGGUUUCUCUCGGCGGCCAUGGAAGAACAAGAGGUUGUUUUAAAGAUUAAAUGAUAAUCGGAAGUAAAUUCAAGUGAAUUAAAGCAGGCGUUCAAAUCGGUGCAACACAAAGAACAAACUAACAUAACAAUUUCUAAAAGGAAGUGAGGAAUAAGAACCUGACCGGAGCAAGUCCGGUGAAUUAAUUUCAGCGUCGGCUUCUGACAGUUGGUGACACAGAAUCGCGACGUCGGAAGAAGACGGUUGGUUGCUUCUUUGAUCAGCUUGUUUCAGGUAAUUCCUUUAUUCUGCUUUGAAUGUUCUAAGUCGAAAUUUGGCUGCUACUGCUUUGUUGCUAUGUAACUGUGAAUCGCUCAUUGUUGCAACUGUUAUGAACUUUUUGUUGCUACUGUGUUGAUUUCAUAACUGUUGCAAAUUGUCGUUGUUAUGCUGAAUUUUUGCUUUGAGUUGUCACAAAUUGUUGUUGUUCAACAAAAUAAUUCAAAAGCCUAAAUCAAGAGGGAUCAAAGAGAUAUUUUUAUGACAUAAAGAAUAUCUUUGCAUAUGUCAUAAGAAUAUCCUUAUUCUUAUUCUUGCAAUGAUUAUAACUUGGAAAUCAGGUUCAUUAAUACCAAAUACAUCCCUAAUUUUGCCUAUAAAUAGAAGAGAUCUCCCUCGAAAUUAAUCACACCAAAG
Vicia villosa (hairy vetch) is the source of this 1023-nucleotide long non-coding RNA. RefSeq lists it as uncharacterized. The transcript is spliced from 3 exons. The record is from RefSeq and is a predicted model, not a curated record. NCBI's taxonomy places the organism in Eukaryota, Viridiplantae, Streptophyta, Magnoliopsida, Fabales, Fabaceae.